This 58-nucleotide transfer RNA is filed under the name Duncaniella sp. RNAcentral's name for it is "tRNA-Lys". It matches the Rfam family "tRNA", at positions 9 to 63 of the family's 71-position model. From Rfam's summary of the family: Transfer RNA (tRNA) molecules are approximately 80 nucleotides in length. Their secondary structure includes four short double-helical elements and three loops (D, anti-codon, and T loops). Further hydrogen bonds mediate the characteristic L-shaped molecular structure. tRNAs have two regions of fundamental functional importance: the anti-codon, which is responsible for specific mRNA codon recognition, and the 3' end, to which the tRNAs corresponding amino acid is attached (by aminoacyl-tRNA synthetases). tRNAs cope with the degeneracy of the genetic code in two manners: having more than one tRNA (with a specific anti-codon) for a particular amino acid; and 'wobble' base-pairing, i.e. permitting non-standard base-pairing at the 3rd anti-codon position. The record is from RNAcentral. Lineage: Bacteria; Pseudomonadati; Bacteroidota; Bacteroidia; Bacteroidales; Muribaculaceae.
AGCUCAGUUGGUAGAGCAACUGACUCUUAAUCAGUGGGUCGAGAGUUCGAGCCUCUCC